This 388-nucleotide ribosomal RNA is filed under the name uncultured bacterium. RNAcentral's name for it is "bacterial SSU rRNA". It matches the Rfam family "Bacterial small subunit ribosomal RNA", at positions 28 to 420 of the family's 1533-position model. The record is from RNAcentral.
GAUGAACGCUGGCGGCAUGCCUUACACAUGCAAGUCGAACGGCAGCACGGGGCAACCUGGUGGCGAGUGGCGAACGGGUGAGUAAUGCAUCGGAACGUGCCAUUGAGUGGGGGAUAACGUAGCGAAAGUUGCGCUAAUACCGCAUAUUCUGUGAGCAGGAAAGCAGGGGACCGCAAGGCCUUGCGCUCUUUGAGCGGCCGAUGUCAGAUUAGCUAGUUGGUGAGGUAACGGCUUACCAAGGCGACGAUCUGUAGCGGGUCUGAGAGGAUGAUCCGCCACACUGGAACUGAGACACGGUCCAGACUCCUACGGGAGGCAGCAGUGGGGAAUUUUGGACAAUGGGCGCAAGCCUGAUCCAGCCAUGCCGCGUGAGUGAAGAAGGCCUCGG